ACGGUACCUGACAGAAUAAGCACCGGCUAACUCUGUGCCAGCAGCCGCGUGUAAUACAGAGUUGUGCAAGCGUUAAUCGGAAUUACUGGGCGUAAAGCGCGCGUAGGUGGUUCGUUAAGUUGGAUGUGAAAUCCCCUGGCUCACACCUGGGAACUGCAUUCCAAAACUGACGAGCUAGAGUAUGGUAGAUUGUGUGUGGAAUUUCCUGUGUAGCGUGUGAAAUGCGUAGAUAUAGUGAAGGAACACCUGUGGCGAAGGCGACCACCUGUGACUGAUACUGACACUGAGUGUGCUGUAAAGCGUGGUGAGCAAACAGUGAUUAGAUACCCUUGUAGUCCACGCCGUAAACGAUGUCAACUAGCCGUUGGGAGCCUUGAGCUCUUAGUGGCGCAGCUAACGCAUUAUACGUUGACU
Molecule: ribosomal RNA, 414 nt
Filed under: soil bacterium b8
Lineage: Bacteria
Description: bacterial SSU rRNA
Rfam family: Bacterial small subunit ribosomal RNA
Source: RNAcentral